UGAGUACGAGCGGCUACGGCCGCGAAGUGGAUGAUGUCAAGCUUCCAAGAAAAGCCCUAUACCCGUUAAGGCAUGAUGGCCUGUACCCGAAACCGACACAGGUGGGGUGGUAGAGAAUACUGAGGGGCGCGAGGUAACUCUCUCUAAGGAACUCGGCAAAAUGGCCCCGUAACUUCGGGAGAAGGGGUGCCACCGCGAGGUGGUCGCAGUGAAGAGGCCCAGGCGACUGUUUACCAAAAACACAGGUCUCCGCUAAGUCGCAAGACGAUGUAUGGGGGCUGACGCCUGCCCAGUGCCGGAAGGUUAAGGAAGCUGGUCAGCGCAAGCGAAGCUGGCGACUGAAGCCCCGGUGAACGGCGGCCGUAACAAUAACGGUCCUAAGGUAGCGAAAUUCCUUGUCGGGUAAGUUCCGACCCGCACGAAAGGCGUAACGAUCUGGGCGCUGUCUCGGAGAGAGGCUCGGCGAAAUAGAAUUGUCUGUGAAGAUGCGGACUACGUGCACCCGGACAGAAAGACCCUAUGAAGCUUUACUGUGGCUUGGUAUUGUGCUCGGGCUCGGAAUGCGCAGGAUAGGUGGGAGGCUUUGAUCCAUUGCUUGCGGGUGAUGGUGAGCCACUGGUGAGAUACCACUCUUUCCGAGCUAGAGUUCUAACAGCAACCCGUUAUCCGGGUGCUGGACAGUAUCAGGUGGGCAGUUUGACUGGGGCGGUCGCCUCCUAAAAGGUAACGGAGGCGCGCAAAGGUCUGCUCAGGCUGGUUGGAAAUCAGCCGACGAGUGUAAAAGCAGAAGCAGGCUUGACUGUGAGACCUACAAGUCGAACAGGGAGGAAACUCGGCUUUAGUGAUCCGACGGUUCUGCGUGGAAGGGCCGUCGCUCAACGGAUAAAAGUUACUCUAGGAUAACAGGCUGAUCUCCCCCAAGAGUUCACAUCGACGGGGAGGUUUGGCACCUCGAUGUCGGCUCAUCGCAACCUGGGGCUGAAGUCGGUCCCAAGGGUUGGGCUGUUCGCCCAUUAAAGCGGUACGCGAGCUGGGUUCAGAACGUCGUGAGACAGUUCGGUCCAUAUCCGGUGCACGCGCAGGAAUAUUGAGAGGAUUUCUCCCUAGUACGAGAGGACCGGGAGGAACGCACCUCUGGUGUGCCAGUUAUCGUGCCAACGGUAAACGCUGGGUAGCCAUGUGCGGAGUGGAUAACCGCUGAAAGCAUCUAAGUGGGAAGCCCACCUCAAGAUGAGUAUUCCCAUGGCAUAAGCCAGUAAGGUCACGGGAAGAACACCCGUUGAUAGGCUCUACGUGGAAGCGCAGUAAUGUGUGAAGCGGAGGAGUACUAAUAGACCGAGGGCUUGACC
Molecule: ribosomal RNA, 1349 nt
Filed under: metagenome
Description: bacterial LSU rRNA
Rfam family: Bacterial large subunit ribosomal RNA
Source: RNAcentral